CCUACGGGUGGCACCAGUGGGGAAUAUUGCACAAUGGGCGCAAGCCUGAUGCAGCCAUGCCGCGUGUAUGAAGAAGGCCUUCGGGUUGUAAAGCACUUUCAGCGGGGAGGAAGGCGGUGAGAUUAAUACUCUCACCGAUUGACGUUACCCGCAGAAGAAGCACCGGCUAACUCCGUGCCAGCAGCCGCGGUAAUACGGAGGGUGCAAGCGUUAAUCGGAAUGACUGGGCGUAAAGCGCACGCAGGCGGUUUGUUAAGUCAGAUGUGAAAUCCCCGAGCUUAACUUGGGAACUGCAUUUGAAACUGGCAAGCUAGAGUCUUGUAGAGGGGGGUAGAAUUCCAGGUGUAGCGGUGAAAUGCGUAGAGAUCUGGAGGAAUACCGGCGGCGAAGGCGGCCCCCUGGACAAAGACUGACGCUCAGGUGUGAAAGCGUGGGGAGCAAACAGGAUUAGAUACCCGGGUAGUC
This 465-nucleotide ribosomal RNA is filed under the name uncultured bacterium. Its description in RNAcentral is "bacterial SSU rRNA". It matches the Rfam family "Bacterial small subunit ribosomal RNA", at positions 338 to 795 of the family's 1533-position model. The record is from RNAcentral.